UAUUAUUUUUGAUGUUAAUUAUUUAACCUGAGUAGUAAUAGAUAUGUUCUUGAAACUUAAAGAAUUUGGCAGUAUUUUAUUCUAUUUAGAGGAACCUGUUCUUUUAUCGAUAAUCCUCGUUGGACCUUACUUAAUUUAUUGAUUUGUAUACCGCCGUUGUAUUGAGGGUCUUUAUAGUGUUUUUAAUUUUCUGAAUUUUAUUUAAAAUUAUUUCAGGUCAAGGUGCAAUUUAUGGUUAAGUAGAAAUGGGUUACGUUUAUAUUUAUUUUUGGAUUAUUAAAUGAAAUUUUAAUAUGAAAUUGGAUUUAAAUGUAAUUAUUAUUUUAGAUUGUAUUAAUGAUUUAGUUUCUAGAGUGUGUACACAUCGCCCGUCACUCUCGUUAUUUAUUCGAG
RNAcentral lists this ribosomal RNA (393 nucleotides) under Cryptocercus sp. 3 ZW-2019. RNAcentral describes it as "partial 12S small subunit ribosomal RNA". The record is from RNAcentral. Lineage: Eukaryota; Metazoa; Arthropoda; Insecta; Blattodea; Cryptocercidae.